This 555-nucleotide ribosomal RNA is filed under the name uncultured bacterium. RNAcentral describes it as "partial 16S ribosomal RNA". It matches the Rfam family "Bacterial small subunit ribosomal RNA", at positions 355 to 900 of the family's 1533-position model. The record is from RNAcentral.
UAGGGAAUCUUCCACAAUGGACGAAAGUCUGAUGGAGCAACGCCGCGUGAGUGAUGAAGGGUUUCGGCUCGUAAAACUCUGUUGUUGGAGAAGAACAGGUGUCAGAGUAACUGUUGACAUCUUGACGGUAUCCAACCAGAAAGCCACGGCUAACUACGUGCCAGCAGCCGCGGUAAUACGUAGGUGGCAAGCGUUGUCCGGAUUUAUUGGGCGUAAAGCGAGCGCAGGCGGUUUCUUAGGUCUGAUGUGAAAGCCUUCGGCUUAACCGGAGAAGUGCAUCGGAAACCAGGAGACUUGAGUGCAGAAGAGGAUAGUGGAACUCCAUGUGUAGCGGUGAAAUGCGUAGAUAUAUGGAAGAACACCAGUGGCGAAGGCGGCUGUCUGGUCUGUAACUGACGCUGAGGCUCGAAAGCAUGGGUAGCGAACAGGAUUAGAUACCCUGGUAGUCCAUGCCGUAAACGAUGAGUGCUAAGUGUUGGAGGGUUUCCGCCCUUCAGUGCUGCAGCUAACGCAUUAAGCACUCCGCCUGGGGGAGUACGACCGCAAGGUUGAAAC